This 497-nucleotide ribosomal RNA is filed under the name uncultured bacterium. RNAcentral describes it as "partial 16S ribosomal RNA". It matches the Rfam family "Bacterial small subunit ribosomal RNA", at positions 28 to 507 of the family's 1533-position model. The record is from RNAcentral.
GAUGAACGCUGGCGGCGUGCCUAAUACAUGCAAGUCGAGCGAACAGACGAGGAGCUUGCUCCUUUGACGUUAGCGGCGGACGGGUGAGUAACACGUGGGUAACCUACCUAUAAGACUGGGAUAACUUCGGGAAACCGGAGCUAAUACCGGAUAAUAUUUCGAACCGCAUGGUUCGAUAGUGAAAGAUGGCUUUGCUAUCACUUAUAGAUGGACCUGCGCCGUAUUAGCUAGUUGGUACGGUAACGGCUUACCAAGGCAACGAUACGUAGCCGACCUGAGAGGGUGAUCGGCCACACUGGAACUGAGACACGGUCCAGACUCCUACGGGAGGCAGCAGUAGGGAAUCUUCCGCAAUGGGCGAAAGCCUGACGGAGCAACGCCGCGUGAGUGAUGAAGGUCUUCGGAUCGUAAAACUCUGUUAUUAGGGAAGAACAAACGUGUAAGUAACUGUGCACGUCUUGACGGUACCUAAUCAGAAAGCCACGGCUAACUACGUG